GCACAAGCGGAGGAACAUGUGGUUAAUUCGAUGAUACGCGAGGAACCUUACCUGGGCUUAAAUGUAGAGUGCAUUUUUAGUAGAUAGAAAUUCCCUUCGGGGCUUUCUGCAAGGUGCUGCAUGGUUGUCGUCAGCUCGUGCCGUGAGGUGUCGGGUUAAGUCCCAUAACGAGCGCAACCCUUAUCGUUAGUUGCCAGCUGGUAAAGCAGGGGACUCUAGCGAAACUGCCACCGUAAGGUGAGAGGAAGGUGGGAUGACGUCAAAUCAGCACGGCCCUUAUGUCCAGGGCUACACACGUGUUACAAUGGCCGGCACAGAGGGCAGCUACCUGGUGACAGGAUGCUAAUCUCGAAAACCGGUCUCAGUUCGGAUCGAAGUCUGCAACUCGACUUCGUGAAGCUGGAUUCGCUAGUAAUCGCGCAUCAGCCAUGGCGCGGUGAAUACGUUCCCGGGCCUU
This 457-nucleotide ribosomal RNA is filed under the name uncultured Sphingobacteriales bacterium. RNAcentral's name for it is "bacterial SSU rRNA". It matches the Rfam family "Bacterial small subunit ribosomal RNA", at positions 923 to 1382 of the family's 1533-position model. Lineage: Bacteria; Pseudomonadati; Bacteroidota; Sphingobacteriia; Sphingobacteriales. The record is from RNAcentral.